GACGAACGCUGGCGGCGUGCUUAACACAUGCAAGUCGAACGCUGAAGCUCAGCUUUUGUUGGGUGGAUGAGUGGCGAACGGGUGAGUAACACGUGAGUAACCUGCCUCCUUCUUUGGGAUAACGCCCGGAAACGGGUGCUAAUACUGGAUAUUCACUGGUCUUCGCAUGGGGGUUGGUGGAAAGGGUUUUUCUGGUGGGGGAUGGGCUCGCGGCCUAUCAGCUUGUUGGUGGGGUGAUGGCCUACCAAGGCUUUGACGGGUAGCCGGCCUGAGAGGGUGACCGGUCACAUUGGGACUGAGAUACGGCCCAGACUCCUACGGGGGGCAGCAGUGUGGAAUAUUGCACAAUGGGCGCAAGCCUGAUGCAGCGACGCCGCGUGAGGGAUUGAGGCCUUCGGGUUGUGAACCUCUUUCGCUCAUGGUCAAGCCGAAACAAUGGUUGUGGUGAGGGUAGUGGGUAAAGAAGCGCCGGCUAACUACGUG
RNAcentral lists this ribosomal RNA (483 nucleotides) under uncultured bacterium. RNAcentral describes it as "partial 16S ribosomal RNA". It matches the Rfam family "Bacterial small subunit ribosomal RNA", at positions 28 to 507 of the family's 1533-position model. The record is from RNAcentral.